AAAGGCAUGUAAGAUCUGUAAUCACUUUGGGUCCAUUGUAUCACAGCAGGUCUGAAAGGCCAUGUAAGAUCUGUAAUCACUUUGGGUCCAUUGUAUCACAGCAGAUCUGAAAGGCCAUGUAAGAUCUGUAAUCACUUUGGGUCCAUUGUAUCACAGCAGGUCUGAAAGGCCAUGUAAGAUCUGUAAUCACCUUUGGUCAUUGUAUCACAGCAGAUCUGAAAGGCCAUGUAAGAUCUGUGAUCACUUUGGGUCCAUUGUUUAUUUGUCUUUCAGUCUAUCGCUUUUCAGCUUUUGAAAGAUGAUUUUAUUUGAAACCUUGAUUCAGUUUUUACUUAUUUUUUUUAUGCAUUUUUUAUUCUGGUUAUACAUUCAAAUUUAUAUUCAGCCUGUUUUCAAAAUUACAGGGGCUGUUUCAAAAAAGAAAUUUUCAAAAUCACAGUUUUACUGUCUAGAGAUGCCAUGUAAUCAACGCAGACUCAAGUUUAUUAUAGUUAAUUAACUCCUUGUAAGUUACAGCAAAAUCAAUCUAUUUAUUGUGAUAAGUCUCAGAAUAGAAUUAAGCAUUUCCAGUAACAAUUAUUUUUACCAUUUAUUACUGUUUAAAUUAUAUAUUGUAAUAUAGAAAUAUAUUUUGAUGAUAU
This 641-nucleotide long non-coding RNA is filed under the name Mytilus galloprovincialis (Mediterranean mussel). Lineage: Eukaryota; Metazoa; Mollusca; Bivalvia; Mytilida; Mytilidae. The record is from RNAcentral.